UACCAGCACCCCGAGUGGUCGGGACGAUUAUUGGGCCUAAAGCACCCGUAGCCGGUUCUACAAGUCUUCCGUUAAAUCCACCUGCUUAACAGAUGGGCUGCGGAGGAUACUAUAGAGCUAGGAGGCGGGAGAGGCAAGCGGUACUCGAUGGGUAGGGGUAAAAUCCGUUGAUCCAUUGAAGACCACCAGUGGCGAAGGCGGCUUGCCAGAACGCGCUCGACGGUGAGGGAUGAAAGCUGGGGGAGCAAACCGG
This 253-nucleotide ribosomal RNA is filed under the name uncultured bacterium. RNAcentral's name for it is "partial 16S ribosomal RNA". It matches the Rfam family "Archaeal small subunit ribosomal RNA", at positions 474 to 727 of the family's 1478-position model. The record is from RNAcentral.